Molecule: long non-coding RNA, 277 nt
Filed under: Vigna radiata
Lineage: Eukaryota; Viridiplantae; Streptophyta; Magnoliopsida; Fabales; Fabaceae
Description: long non-coding RNA (VRAD_LNC015951)
Source: RNAcentral
CAGACUCUUUUUACCACGGUUAUGAAUCGAGGCAUAAAAUGAUAAGAUUUUGCCUUGGCUCAAAAUUAUCCAAAGCAGUAGGGUUUUUUAUUUUUUUUUUUUAAUUUUUUCGCAGGACUUUAUGCCUCGGUUAGCUCUGAACCGAGGUAGUAUGUCCGCCUCUACUGCCUCAGUUGGGACCUAAACCGAGGCAAUAUGGUCUUUUUUAAUUCUUUUUUUUUGCUUCUUUCGCCAGCCUUUAUGCCUCAGCUGAGGCCUGAACCGAUGCCAUAUAAGG